ACUAAGGCAACUCCGAUUGAAUGCGAAAUCCCGCUAGCCAUUAUUCGUAUGAACUCCUAGAUCCAUGAAGGACAUGGGCAUCUGUAAGCCGGUGUAGCUAAGCGAAGAGCGGAAAGAAGGAAUCAGAAAAUCAAUGCAUUCCUUCUUAAACUUACCGGUCUGAUGAUAUCUUAAUCUAAGAAAAGAAGAUUUAAUAAGAAAAUAAAAUUUCCUUUUUCGGGUAAAGGUUUAAUUAAGAAUUCCAGGUGGUCCAGUGGAUGGAUUAAGCUAUUGAUCAUAUCAUAGGUCAAGGACGGAACGAAGAACCAACGUUUUUCUUCCUCCUCUGUUCUCUACUAAGAUUGUAAUAGAUUCGUGCUUUCUCUUCCCCGAGGGAACGGAACUAGCACUAUAAUUCCGAGUCACCUAUCCAGUAUGUGAGUGAGCCCGCCCUACGGAUCCCCUUUGUUCAAUGGGGGAGGGGUCAUACCUUCCCCGCCCGCUUAGUUUCAUAAGUCUAAAUGAUUUGGGGCACAGAAUCUGCCGUAGAUGUGAAAUUUGCUAAUUUUCAUUCUCAGCUUUCUCAUCACAUGAAUGAGACAUAACUUCUUA
RNAcentral lists this long non-coding RNA (591 nucleotides) under Nicotiana benthamiana. RNAcentral describes it as "long non-coding RNA (NBEN_LNC038194)". Lineage: Eukaryota; Viridiplantae; Streptophyta; Magnoliopsida; Solanales; Solanaceae. The record is from RNAcentral.